GUGUUGUAUGAAAGAGAGACGUUUAGCACUCCCCUUGACAAGGAUGGAACACACAUACUGGUUAAGGCACUGUUGUAAUACAGCACUUAACCACAUUUUUUG
RNAcentral lists this non-coding RNA (102 nucleotides) under Homalodisca vitripennis (glassy-winged sharpshooter). The record is from RNAcentral. Lineage: Eukaryota; Metazoa; Arthropoda; Insecta; Hemiptera; Cicadellidae.